UGGGUGGAUUAGUGGCGAACGGGUGAGUAACACGUGAGUAACCUGCCCCUGACUCUGGGAUAAGCGUUGGAAACGACGUCUAAUACUGGAUACGACUGCCGGCCGCAUGGUCUGGUGGUGGAAAGAUUUUUUGGUUGGGGAUGGACUCGCGGCCUAUCAGCUUGUUGGUGAGGUAAUGGCUCACCAAGGCGACGACGGGUAGCCGGCCUGAGAGGGUGACCGGCCACACUGGGACUGAGACACGGCCCAGACUCCUACGGGAGGCAGCAGUGGGGAAUAUUGCACAAUGGGCGAAAGCCUGAUGCAGCAACGCCGCGUGAGGGAUGACGGCCUUCGGGUUGUAAACCUCUUUUAGUAGGGAAGAAGCGAAAGUGACGGUACCUGCAGAAAAAGCACCGGCUAACUACGUGCCAGCAGCCGCGGUAAUACGUAGGGUGCAAGCGUUGUCCGGAAUUAUUGGGCGUAAAGAGCUCGUAGGCGGUUUGUCGCGUCUGCUGUGAAAUCCCGAGGCUCAACCUCGGGCUUGCAGUGGGUACGGGCAGACUAGAGUGCGGUAGGGGAGAUUGGAAUUCCUGGUGUAGCGGUGGAAUGCGCAGAUAUCAGGAGGAACACCGAUGGCGAAGGCAGAUCUCUGGGCCGUAACUGACGCUGAGGAGCGAAAGCGUGGGGAGCGAACAGGAUUAGAUACCCUGGUAGUCCA
This 700-nucleotide ribosomal RNA is filed under the name Actinomycetes bacterium. RNAcentral describes it as "bacterial SSU rRNA". It matches the Rfam family "Bacterial small subunit ribosomal RNA", at positions 84 to 797 of the family's 1533-position model. The record is from RNAcentral. Lineage: Bacteria; Bacillati; Actinomycetota; Actinomycetes.